Molecule: transfer RNA, 77 nt
Filed under: Legionella sp.
Lineage: Bacteria; Pseudomonadati; Pseudomonadota; Gammaproteobacteria; Legionellales; Legionellaceae
Description: tRNA-Met
Rfam family: tRNA
About the family: Transfer RNA (tRNA) molecules are approximately 80 nucleotides in length. Their secondary structure includes four short double-helical elements and three loops (D, anti-codon, and T loops).
Source: RNAcentral
GGGCCUAUAGCUCAGUUGGUUAGAGCAGCGGACUCAUAAUCCGUUGGUCCUAGGUUCAAAUCCUAGUGGGCCCACCA